GCAAUGGUAAGACAUUUUUAAGACUCUAACCUUCGUAAGAAGGUAUGAUGUAUACGAACUGAACGACCGGGCUUCACAACAAAAACAUGGCCACAUGAGUUGGAUUAUUCCGGUAAAAUUUAAAUCAGACAACAUUAUCAAUUGCAACAUUACAACAUUGUCAACAAUUCUAUCUGAGAGAACAUUACAGCAAUGGCUUCCAGUAAUUCAAGCCAGAAGAAACCUUUCCAGCGGUGUUGUCCCAUCUGCAGUAAUGUCAUUAGUGUUCGUCGACAUUUCUGCAACUGUGGACACAGCUUUAUAGAUGAAAAGCGUAAGGGUGAUGUAGAGCGGGAGGAGAAAUAUAAGGAAAUGGGUCGAAGAGCUGCUAAGCAU
Long non-coding RNA from Procambarus clarkii (red swamp crayfish), 375 nucleotides. RefSeq lists it as uncharacterized. Lineage: Eukaryota; Metazoa; Arthropoda; Malacostraca; Decapoda; Cambaridae. The record is from RefSeq and is a predicted model, not a curated record.